GAUGAAGAACGCAGCUAAAUGCGAUAAGUAAUGUGAAUUGCAGAAUUCAGUGAAUCAUCGAAUCUUUGAACGCACAUUGCGCCCCUUGGUAUUCCGAGGGGCAUGCCUGUUCGAGCGUCAUUUCAACCCUCAAGCACAGCUUGGUCUUGGGCUUCGCCGCUAACCCGGCGGGUCUUAAAAUCAGUGGCGGUGCCGUCGGGCCCUGAGCGCAGUAAUCUCUCUCGCUAUAGGGUCCCGGCGGAUGCUGGCCAGUAACCCCCAAUUUUCUAUGGUUGACCUCGGAUCAGGUAGGGAUACCCGCUGAACUUAAGCAUAUCAAUAAGCGGAGG
This 329-nucleotide unclassified non-coding RNA is filed under the name soil metagenome. RNAcentral describes it as "partial contains 5.8S ribosomal RNA, internal transcribed spacer 2, and large subunit ribosomal RNA". The stretch from base 1 to 120 matches the Rfam family "5.8S ribosomal RNA", at positions 35 to 154 of the family's 154-position model. The record is from RNAcentral.